GAGGAAAGAGGGAGGCGUGCCCAAUACAUGCAAGUCGAGCGAACGGACGAGAAGCUUGCUUCUCUGAUGUUAGCGGCGGACGGGUGAGUAACACGUGGAUAACCUACCUAUAAGACUGGGAUAACUUCGGGAAACCGUAGCUAAUACCGGAUAAUAUUUUGAACCGCAUGGUUCAAAAGUGAAAGACGGUCUUGCUGUCACUUAUAGAUGGAUCCGCGCUGCAUUAGCUAGUUGGUAAGGUAACGGCUUACCAAGGCAACGAUGCAUAGCCGACCUGAGAGGGUGAUCGGCCACACUGGAACUGAGACACGGUCCAGACUCCUACGGGAGGCAGCAGUAGGGAAUCUUCCGCAAUGGGCGAAAGCCUGACGGAGCAACGCCGCGUGAGUGAUGAAGGUCUUCGGAUCGUAAAACUCUGUUAUUAGGGAAGAACAUAUGUGUAAGUAACUGUGCACAUCUUGACGGUACCUAAUCAGAAAGCCACGGCUAACUACGUG
RNAcentral lists this ribosomal RNA (497 nucleotides) under uncultured bacterium. Its description in RNAcentral is "partial 16S ribosomal RNA". It matches the Rfam family "Bacterial small subunit ribosomal RNA", at positions 28 to 507 of the family's 1533-position model. The record is from RNAcentral.